AUCUUUUCAUGAAGAUUUGGGAAACUUAGUCCACAGACCAGAAAAUCACCAAGAAUUUGAGUAAGUUCUCUUCUAACAGAUUUCUUGAUUUUAGGAUCUCAAACGAUGGAUUGUUUAGAUUUUGGGACCGAAUUUGGGUUCUUGUCCCUAUUAAGAUGGAUGUUCCCAAGGCUACCCAUACCUCCAAACUAUCCAUCCAUUCCGAA
This 206-nucleotide long non-coding RNA is filed under the name Carica papaya (papaya). RNAcentral describes it as "long non-coding RNA (CPAP_LNC010760)". The record is from RNAcentral. Lineage: Eukaryota; Viridiplantae; Streptophyta; Magnoliopsida; Brassicales; Caricaceae.